RNAcentral lists this long non-coding RNA (256 nucleotides) under Elaeis guineensis (African oil palm). RNAcentral's name for it is "long non-coding RNA (EGUI_LNC027694)". The record is from RNAcentral. Lineage: Eukaryota; Viridiplantae; Streptophyta; Magnoliopsida; Arecales; Arecaceae.
UAAAUCCGCUCUUGAGUUCGCCAAUUGGGACCUAUGGCUCUGGCUCUUCCUGCUCAACCGGCUCAUCUAGGAUAGUGCAUUCGAUCAUAAAGUUGGCUAAGAUCUAUGUCUUGAUGGAUGGUCGAGGUUGAUACUGAAUGUCAAAUUUUGAAAGCUCGACCGCCCAUUUUGUGAUUCAUCCAGAUAUGUCUGGCCAAUAAAGGAUAUUCUUUAUAGGCUGAUCGAUCAGGAUGAUGAUAGUGUGAGCCUAGAAGUA